UACAAGGUAUUGAAUAAGACUUUAAUUGAGUGCUAAGAGAAUGGAUUUUCAAAAAAAUGCUUUCUUCAAUUCAAAAAUUGAAGCUAUUUUUUUUGUGAAGAAACAAAAAUAAAAAUUAAAGACAAGAAGACCCUAAGAAUUUUUAUAAAUUUAUUGUAUAAAUGUAUAAUAUAUUUAUUUAAUUGGGGCGAUUAAAAAAUAUUUUAAACUUUUUUUUUAAAAAAAAAGAUCCAUUAGUAAUGAUUUUUUGAAAAAAAUACUCUAGGGAUAACAGCGUAAUAAUUUUAGAUAGAUCUUAUAGAAAAAAUAGUUUGCGACCUCGAUGUUGGAUUAGGAUUCUUAUUUAAUGAAGAAGUUAAAAAAAGAAGUUUGUUCAACUUUUAAAUUCCUACUUGA
This 396-nucleotide ribosomal RNA is filed under the name Haemaphysalis sulcata. Its description in RNAcentral is "partial large subunit ribosomal RNA". Lineage: Eukaryota; Metazoa; Arthropoda; Arachnida; Ixodida; Ixodidae. The record is from RNAcentral.